GAUGAACGCUGACAGAAUGCUUAACACAUGCAAGUCUACUUGAGCCUUCGGGUGAUGGUGGCGGACGGGUGAGUAACGCGUAAAGAACUUGCCCUGCAGUCUGGGACAACAUUUGGAAACGAAUGCUAAUACCGGAUAUUAUGCGAGAUUCGCAUGUUUCUCGUAUGAAAGCUAUAUGCGCUGCAGGAGAGCUUUGCGUCCUAUUAGCUAGUUGGUGAGGUAACGGCUCACCAAGGCGAUGAUAGGUAGCCGGCCUGAGAGGGUGAACGGCCACAAGGGGACUGAGACACGGCCCUUACUCCUACGGGAGGCAGCAGUGGGGAAUAUUGGACAAUGGACCAAAAGUCUGAUCCAGCAAUUCUGUGUGCACGAUGAAGUUUUUCGGAAUGUAAAGUGCUUUCAGUUGGGACGAAGUAAGUGACGGUACCAACAGAAGAAGCGACGGCUAAAUACGUGCCAGCAGCCGCGGUAAUACGUAUGUCGCAAGCGUUAUCCGGAUUUAUUGGGCGUAAAGCGCGUCUAGGCGGUUUGGUAAGUCUGAUGUGAAAAUGCGGGGCUCAACUCCGUAUUGCGUUGGAAACUGCCAAACUAGAGUACUGGAGAGGUGGGCGGAACUACAAGUGUAGAGGUGAAAUUCGUAGAUAUUUGUAGGAAUGCCGAUGGGGAAGCCAGCCCACUGGACAGAUACUGACGCUAAAGCGCGAAAGCGUGGGUAGCAAACAGGAUUAGAUACCCUGGUAGUCCACGCCGUAAACGAUGAUUACUAGGUGUUGGGGGUCGAACCUCAGCGCCCAAGCUAACGCGAUAAGUAAUCCGCCUGGGGAGUACGUACGCAAGUAUGAAAACUCAAAGGAAUUGACGGGGACCCGCACAAGCGGUGGAGCAUGUGGUUUAAUUCGACGCAACGCGAGGAACCUUACCAGCGUUUGACAUCCUAGGAAGUUGGCAGAGAUGCCUUCGUGCCCCUUCGGGGGAACCUAGUGACAGGUGGUGCAUGGCUGUCGUCAGCUCGUGUCGUGAGAUGUUGGGUUAAGUCCCGCAACGAGCGCAACCCCUUUCGUAUGUUGCCAUCAUUAAGUUGGGAACUCAUGCGAUACUGUCUGCGAUGAGCAGGAGGAAGGUGGGGAUGACGUCAAGCCAUCAUGCCCCUUAUACGCUGGGCUACACACGUGCUACAAUGGGUAGUACAGAGAGUCGCUAACCUGCGAGGGGGAGCUAAUCUCAGAAAACUAUUCUCAGUUCGGAUUGUACUCUGCAACUCGAGUACAUGAAGUUGGAAUCGCUAGUAAUCGCAAAUCAGCUAUGUUGCGGUGAAUACGUUCUCGGGUCU
This 1330-nucleotide ribosomal RNA is filed under the name uncultured bacterium. RNAcentral's name for it is "bacterial SSU rRNA". It matches the Rfam family "Bacterial small subunit ribosomal RNA", at positions 28 to 1381 of the family's 1533-position model. The record is from RNAcentral.